AGUGAACGCUGGCGAUAGGCCUAACACAUGCAGGUCGAACGGCAGCACAGUAAGAGCUUGCUCUUACGGGUGGCGAGUGGCGGACGGGUGAGGAAUACAUCGGAAUCUACUUUUUCGUGGGGGAUAACGUAGGGAAACUUACGCUAAUACCGCAUACGACCUACGGGUGAAAGCAGGGGAUCUUCGGACCUUGCGCGAUUGAAUGAGCCGAUGUCGGAUUAGCUAGUUGGCGGGGUAAAGGCCCACCAAGGCGACGAUCCGUAGCUGGUCUGAGAGGAUGAUCAGCCACACUGGAACUGAGACACGGUCCAGACUCCUACGGGAGGCAGCAGUGGGGAAUAUUGGACAAUGGGCGCAAGCCUGAUCCAGCCAUACCGCGUGGGUGAAGAAGGCCUUCGGGUUGUAAAGCCCUUUUGUUGGGAAAGAAAAGCAGCAGGUUAAUACCCCGCUGUUCUGACGGUACCCAAAGAAUAAGCACCGGCUAACUUCGUG
RNAcentral lists this ribosomal RNA (492 nucleotides) under uncultured bacterium. Its description in RNAcentral is "partial 16S ribosomal RNA". It matches the Rfam family "Bacterial small subunit ribosomal RNA", at positions 29 to 507 of the family's 1533-position model. The record is from RNAcentral.